CUCUUCUCUAGUAUUGCCUGUACUUGAAGAUUAAAAGGUAUGCUAGUGAUGUGUAAAAUCUUACACUGUGCACAAAAGUGUGUAAAAUGUUUAGAAGCACAUGCAGGUCCAUUGUCUGUUUCCAUUGCUUGUGGCGCACCCAUAAUUGCAAAUGCUUGUAUAAGGAAUUCAGUGACCACUCAGGGUGUCUCUUUUGCUGCUGGUAUUACAAAAGUGAAUCCUGAAAAAGUGUCUACCACAACAUGGAUAAAAGACAGAGGACCAAAAGAUUUAUAGUGGGUCACAUCCAUUUGCCAAAUUUCAUUGGGUCUCAAACCACAAGGGUUCUUCUCUGGAGUCAAUGUAGGAGCGUGGAAAGGAAGGCAAGCUGUACAGGUAUUUACAAUGCUCCUAGCUUCCUCUCUUGUUUUUCCAAAUUAUAAAUAUAAAGCUCAAGCAGCCUGAUGAUAUUUAGAAUGAGAUUCUUGGGCUGCCUGAAAUAAAGGAGUAUUGACCAACAUCGUUAGAAGGCUAUCUGCCUUUGAAUUACCAUCAAAAAUAGAACCUGGAAGUCCACUAUGAGAGUGGAACUGCAAGAUAUCAAUCUUACCUGGAUGCUUUCUCACUUGCUCUUGAAGUUCCUAAAAGAGCUGAUAUAUAUUAGAAGCUACAAAUUUUAUUUGGGCUAUGGCAAUGCUUUGUAGAACAGGCCGAAUCAGAUGUUAUCUCCAGAAUAAGUAAGAGCUAGAAUGAUCCCAUACAAUUCAUUCUGCUGAGUGGACUGAAAAGGAGUUCUGAUUUAUAAUUUAUAAUUUAUAAUUUAUAAUUUAUAAUUAAAUCACAAGAGUAUACAGCACAAAUAUUAUGUUUGGAUGCAUCUGUAAAGAGAGUUGGUCCUUUAAGACGAACUUUAGAAACUUUUUCUUCAAGAACCCACCCUCAAUUAUGUAAUAGUCUGCUUAUCUUUAAUGGAGACCCGUGUAUAAAAUUUGGAGCCAUAGCUAAUAAAAUUUGCCGCUCUGGGAUGGUUUCACAGCAUACAUUAAUUUGUGCAUUAGUAUAAAAGGUGUCUAUCUUAUCAGGUCUUAUCCCAGAUAAUUGUUAUCUGGCUCGCUUAAUGUCUU
Molecule: long non-coding RNA, 1103 nt
Organism: Antechinus flavipes (yellow-footed antechinus)
Lineage: Eukaryota; Metazoa; Chordata; Mammalia; Dasyuromorphia; Dasyuridae
Exons: 2
Source: RefSeq, a predicted model, not a curated record